GACGAACGCUGGCGGCGUGCUUAACACAUGCAAGUCGAACGGAAAGGCCUGCUUUCCCUUGUGGAUUGCGGGUACUCGAGUGGCGAACGGGUGAGUAACACGUGAGUGAUCUGCCCCCAACUUGGGUAUAAGCCUGGGAAACUGGGUCUAAUUCCCGAUAGGACUGCAGGGUGGUGCCUGUGGUGGAAAACGAUUUUCUAGUGGUUGGGGAUGAGCUCGCGGCCUAUCAGCUUGUUGGUGGGGUAAUGGCCUACCAAGGCGGCGACGGGUAGCCGGCCUGGGAGGGUGGACGGCGACAUUGGGACUGAGAUACGGCCCAGACUCCUACGGGAGGCAGCAGUGGGGAAUAUUGCACAAUGGGCGGAAGCCUGAUGCAGCGACGCCGCGUGGGGGAUGACGGCCUUCGGGUUGUAAACUCCUUGCGACCGCGAGGAAGCCACCUGGUUGGAAGGGUGGUGACGGUAGUGGUAGAAGAAGCACCGGCUAACUACGUG
RNAcentral lists this ribosomal RNA (494 nucleotides) under uncultured bacterium. RNAcentral's name for it is "partial 16S ribosomal RNA". It matches the Rfam family "Bacterial small subunit ribosomal RNA", at positions 28 to 507 of the family's 1533-position model. The record is from RNAcentral.